UGUUCUGUGGCUUAGUUGGUUAAAGUACCGGACUAGCGAUACUAAGUCGUGUGUUCGAAUCCCACCAAAACAA
Non-coding RNA from Aedes albopictus (Asian tiger mosquito), 73 nucleotides. The record is from Rfam. Lineage: Eukaryota; Metazoa; Arthropoda; Insecta; Diptera; Culicidae.